UACGAAGGGGGCUAGCGUUGCUCGGAAUCACUGGGCGUAAAGGGCGCGUAGGCGGCCAUUCAAGUCAGAGGUGAAAGCCCAAGGCUCAACCUUGGAAUUGCCUUUGAUACUGUUUGGCUUGAGACCGGAAGAGGUAAGUGGAACUGCGAGUGUAGAGGUGAAAUUCGUAGAUAUUCGCAAGAACACCAGUGGCGAAGGCGGCUUACUGGUCCGGUUCUGACGCUCAUGCACGAAAGCGUGGGGAGCAAACAGG
Molecule: ribosomal RNA, 253 nt
Filed under: uncultured bacterium
Lineage: Bacteria
Description: partial 16S ribosomal RNA
Rfam family: Bacterial small subunit ribosomal RNA
Source: RNAcentral